RNAcentral lists this ribosomal RNA (313 nucleotides) under uncultured Chytridiomycota. RNAcentral describes it as "partial large subunit ribosomal RNA". It matches the Rfam family "Eukaryotic large subunit ribosomal RNA", at positions 40 to 350 of the family's 3401-position model. The record is from RNAcentral. Lineage: Eukaryota; Fungi; Chytridiomycota.
AUAUCAAUAAGCGGAGGAAAAGAAACUAACAAGGAUUCCCCUAGUAACGGCGAGUGAAGCGGGAAAAGCUCAAAUUUGAAAUCUCACUGGUUUCCAGUGCGAAUUGUAGUUUAGAGAAGUGUUUUCGGAGGUGGGCCAGGCAUAAGUCCCUGGAACGGGGCAUCGUAGAGGGUGACAAUCCCGUCUUAGGUCUGGACUCCGCUUCUAUGUGAUACACUUUCAAAGAGUCGGGUUGUUUGGGAAUGCAGCCCAAAAUGGGUGGUAAAUACCAUCUAAAGCUAAAUAACGGCGAGGGACCGAUAGCGCACAAGUA